GAUGAACGCUGGCGGCGUGCCUAAUACAUGCAAGUCGAGCGAACAGACGAGGAGCUUGCUCCUCUGACGUUAGCGGCGGACGGGUGAGUAACACGUGGAUAACCUACCUAUAAGACUGGUAUAACUUCGGGAAACCGGAUCUAAUACCGGAUAAUAUAUUGAACCGCAUGGUUCAAUAGUGAAAGACGGUUUUGCUGUCACUUAUAGAUGGAUCCGCGCCGAAUUAGCUAGUUGGUAGGGUAACGGCUUACCACGGCUACGAUGCGUAGCCGACCUGAGAGGGUGAUCGGCCACACUGGAACUGAGACACGGUCCAGACUCCUACGGGAGGCAGCAGUGGGGAAUCUUCCGCAAUGGGCGAAAGCCUGACGCAGCAACGCCGCGUGAGUGAUGAAGGUCUUCGGAUCGUAAAGCUCUGUUAUUAGGGAAGAACAAAUGUGUAAGUAAAUAUGCACGUCUUGACGGUACCUAAUCAGAAAGCCACGGCUAACUACGUG
RNAcentral lists this ribosomal RNA (497 nucleotides) under uncultured bacterium. RNAcentral's name for it is "partial 16S ribosomal RNA". It matches the Rfam family "Bacterial small subunit ribosomal RNA", at positions 28 to 507 of the family's 1533-position model. The record is from RNAcentral.